This 253-nucleotide ribosomal RNA is filed under the name uncultured bacterium. RNAcentral's name for it is "partial 16S ribosomal RNA". It matches the Rfam family "Bacterial small subunit ribosomal RNA", at positions 524 to 776 of the family's 1533-position model. The record is from RNAcentral.
UACGUAGGGUGCGAGCGUUGUCCGGAAUUAUUGGGCGUAAAGGGCUCGUAGGCGGUUUGUCGCGUCGGGAGUGAAAACUCAGGGCUUAACCCUGAGCCUGCUUCCGAUACGGGCAGACUAGAGGUAUGCAGGGGAGAACGGAAUUCCUGGUGUAGCGGUGAAAUGCGCAGAUAUCAGGAGGAACACCGGUGGCGAAGGCGGUUCUCUGGGCAUUACCUGACGCUGAGGAGCGAAAGUGUGGGGAGCGAACGGG